Molecule: ribosomal RNA, 464 nt
Filed under: Brucella pseudogrignonensis
Lineage: Bacteria; Pseudomonadati; Pseudomonadota; Alphaproteobacteria; Hyphomicrobiales; Brucellaceae
Description: bacterial SSU rRNA
Rfam family: Bacterial small subunit ribosomal RNA
Source: RNAcentral
CCAUGCAGUCGAGCGCCCCGCAAGGGGAGCGGCAGACGGGUGAGUAACGCGUGGGAAUCUACCUUUUGCUACGGAAUAACUCAGGGAAACUUGUGCUAAUACCGUAUGUGCCCUUCGGGGGAAAGAUUUAUCGGCAAAGGAUGAGCCCGCGUUGGAUUAGCUAGUUGGUGGGGUAAAGGCCCACCAAGGCGACGAUCCAUAGCUGGUCUGAGAGGAUGAUCAGCCACACUGGGACUGAGACACGGCCCAGACUCCUACGGGAGGCAGCAGUGGGGAAUAUUGGACAAUGGGCGCAAGCCUGAUCCAGCCAUGCCGCGUGAGUGAUGAAGGCCCUAGGGUUGUAAAGCUCUUUCACCGGUGAAGAUAAUGACGGUAACCGGAGAAGAAGCCCCGGCUAACUUCGUGCCAGCAGCCGCGGUAAUACGAAGGGGGCUAGCGUUGUUCGGAUUUACUGGGCGUAAAGC